AUUGAACGCUGGCGGCAGGCUUAACACAUGCAAGUCGAGCGGAGAUGAGGUGCUUGCACCUUAUCUUAGCGGCGGACGGGUGAGUAAUGCUUAGGAAUCUGCCUAUUAGUGGGGGACAACAUUCCGAAAGGAAUGCUAAUACCGCAUACGUCCUACGGGAGAAAGCAGGGGAUCUUCGGACCUUGCGCUAAUAGAUGAGCCUAAGUCGGAUUAGCUAGUUGGUGGGGUAAAGGCCUACCAAGGCGACGAUCUGUAGCGGGUCUGAGAGGAUGAUCCGCCACACUGGGACUGAGACACGGCCCAGACUCCUACGGGAGGCAGCAGUGGGGAAUAUUGGACAAUGGGGGGAACCCUGAUCCAGCCAUGCCGCGUGUGUGAAGAAGGCCUUAUGGUUGUAAAGCACUUUAAGCGAGGAGGAGGCUACUGAGACUAAUACUCUUAGAUAGUGGACGUUACUCGCAGAAUAAGCACCGGCUAACUCUGUGCCAGCAGCCGCGGUAAUACAGAGGGUGCGAGCGUUAAUCGGAUUUACUGGGCGUAAAGCGUGCGUANGCGGCUUUUUAAGUCGGAUGUGAAAUCCCCGAGCUUAACUUGGGAAUUGCAUUCGAUACUGGGAAGCUAGAGUAUGGGANAGGAUGGUAGAAUUCCAGG
Molecule: ribosomal RNA, 651 nt
Filed under: uncultured prokaryote
Description: bacterial SSU rRNA
Rfam family: Bacterial small subunit ribosomal RNA
Source: RNAcentral